RNAcentral lists this transfer RNA (74 nucleotides) under Verrucomicrobium sp. RNAcentral describes it as "tRNA-Gln". It matches the Rfam family "tRNA". From Rfam's summary of the family: Transfer RNA (tRNA) molecules are approximately 80 nucleotides in length. Their secondary structure includes four short double-helical elements and three loops (D, anti-codon, and T loops). Lineage: Bacteria; Pseudomonadati; Verrucomicrobiota; Verrucomicrobiia; Verrucomicrobiales; Verrucomicrobiaceae. The record is from RNAcentral. RNAcentral also lists the same sequence under 4 other names.
UGCCCGAUGGUGUAAUGGUAGCACAACAGUCUCUGAAUCUGUUUGUCAUGGUUCGAAUCCAUGUCGGGCAACCA